RNAcentral lists this ribosomal RNA (765 nucleotides) under uncultured Glomus. RNAcentral describes it as "SSU rRNA". It matches the Rfam family "Eukaryotic small subunit ribosomal RNA", at positions 342 to 1108 of the family's 1831-position model. The record is from RNAcentral. Lineage: Eukaryota; Fungi; Glomeromycota; Glomeromycetes; Glomerales; Glomeraceae.
UACCAUGGUGGUAACGGGUAACGGGGUGUUAGGGCACGACACCGGAGAGGGAGCCUGAGAAACGGCUACCACAUCCAAGGAUGGCAGCAGGCGCGCAAAUUACCCAAUCCCGACACGGGGAGGUAGUGACAAUAAAUAACAAUACGGGGUUCUUUAGGAUCUCGUAAUUGGAAUGAGUACAAUUUAAAUCUCUUAACGAGGAACAAUUGGAGGGCAAGUCUGGUGCCAGCAGCCGCGGUAAUUCCAGCUCCAAUAGCGUAUAUUAAAGUUGUUGCAGUUAAAAAGCUCGUAGUUGAAUUUCGGGGUCAGUAGGUCGGUCGUGCCACUGGUAUGAACUGGUUUUACUGAUUCCUCCCUCUUGAAGAACUGUAAUGCCAUUAAUUUGGUGUUGCAGGGAAUCAGGACUGUUACUUUGAAAAAAUUAGAGUGUUUAAAGCAGGCUUUAGCUUGAAUACAUUAGCAUGGAAUAAUGAAAUAGGACGUUUGAUCCUAUUUUGUUGGUUUCUAGGAUUGACGUAAUGAUUAAUAGGGAUAGUUGGGGGCAUUAGUAUUCAAUUGUCAGAGGUGAAAUUCUUGGAUUUAUUGAAGACUAACUACUGCGAAAGCAUUUGCCAAGGAUGUUUUCAUUAAUCAAGAACGAAAGUUAGGGGAUCGAAGACGAUCAGAUACCGACGUAGUCUUAACCAUAAACUAUGCCGACUAGGGAUCGGAUGAUGUUAAUUUUUUAAUGACUCAUUCGGCGCCUUACGGGAAACCAAAGUGUUU